This 301-nucleotide ribosomal RNA is filed under the name uncultured bacterium. RNAcentral describes it as "partial 16S ribosomal RNA". It matches the Rfam family "Bacterial small subunit ribosomal RNA", at positions 509 to 807 of the family's 1533-position model. The record is from RNAcentral.
CAGCCGCCGCGGGAAUACGUAGGGUGCAAGCGUUAAUCGGAAUUACUGGGCGUAAAGCGUGCGCAGGCGGUUUGUUAAGACAGAUGUGAAAUCCCCGGGCUCAACCUGGGAACUGCAUUUGUGACUGGCAAGCUAGAGUGUGGCAGAGGGGGGUGGAAUUCCGCGUGUAGCAGUGAAAUGCGUAGAUAUGCGGAGGAACACCGAUGGCGAAGGCAGCCCCCUGGGCCAACACUGACGCUCAUGCACGAAAGCGUGGGGAGCAAACAGGAUUAGAUACCCGGGUAGUCCCUGUCUCUUAUAC